Molecule: ribosomal RNA, 479 nt
Filed under: uncultured actinomycete
Lineage: Bacteria; Bacillati; Actinomycetota; Actinomycetes; Actinomycetales
Description: bacterial SSU rRNA
Rfam family: Bacterial small subunit ribosomal RNA
Source: RNAcentral
UCAGCUUGUUGGUGGGGUAACGGCCUACCAAGGCAACGACGGGUAGCCGGCCUGAGAGGGUGACCGGCCACACUGGGACUGAGACACGGCCCAGACUCCUACGGGAGGCAGCAGUGGGGAAUAUUGGACAAUGGGCGAAAGCCUGAUCCAGCAACGCCGCGUGGGGGAUGACGGCCUUCGGGUUGUAAACCUCUUUCAGCAGGGACGAAGCGCAAGUGACGGUACCUGCAGAAGAAGCACCGGCCAACUACGUGCCAGCAGCCGCGGAAAUACGUAGGGUGCGAGCGUUGUCCGGAAUUAUUGGGCGUAAAGGGCUCGUAGGCGGUUUGUCGCGUCGGGAGUGAAAACUCAGGGCUUAACCCUGAGCCUGCUUCCGAUACGGGCAGACUAGAGGUAUGCAGGGGAGAACGGAAUUCCUGGUGUAGCGGUGAAAUGCGCAGAUAUCAGGAGGAACACCGGUGGCGAAGGCGGUUCUCUGG